Molecule: ribosomal RNA, 586 nt
Filed under: Malassezia furfur
Lineage: Eukaryota; Fungi; Basidiomycota; Malasseziomycetes; Malasseziales; Malasseziaceae
Description: LSU rRNA
Rfam family: Eukaryotic large subunit ribosomal RNA
Source: RNAcentral
ACUAACAAGGAUUCCCCUAGUAACGGCGAGUGAAGAGGGAAGAGCUCAAAUUUGAAAGCUGGUACCUUCGGUAUCCGCGUUGUAACCUCGAGACACGUUUUCCGUGCGGCGCUAUGGACAAGUUCCUUGGAACAGGACAUCGUAGAGGGUGAAAAUCCCGUACUUGCCAUGGAUGUACCGUGCUUUGCGAUACGUGCUCUAAGAGUCGAGUUGUUUGGGAUUGCAGCUCAAAAUGGGUGGUAGACUCCAUCUAAAGCUAAAUAUCGGGGAGAGACCGAUAGCGAACAAGUACCGUGAGGGAAAGAUGAAAAGCACUUUGGAAAGAGAGUUAAAAGUACGUGAAAUUGUCGAAAGGGAAGCGCUUGAAGUCAGCCAUGCCGCUCAGGACUCAGCCUGGCUUUUGCUUGGUGUAUUUCCUGGGUAGCAAGUCAGCAUUGGUUUGGAUCGUCGGAGAAGCAUAGUCGGAAUGUGGCGCCCUCGGGCGUGUUAUAGCCUUCUAUUGGAUACGACGAUCUAGACCAAGGAACGCAGCGCGCCUUAUGGCGGGUCUUCGGACACCUUCGCGCUUAGGAUGCUGGCGUAAUGC